RNAcentral lists this ribosomal RNA (377 nucleotides) under uncultured bacterium. Its description in RNAcentral is "bacterial SSU rRNA". It matches the Rfam family "Bacterial small subunit ribosomal RNA", at positions 523 to 898 of the family's 1533-position model. The record is from RNAcentral.
AUACGGAGGGUGCGAGCGUUAAUCGGAAUUACUGGGCGUAAAGCGUGCGUAGGCGGCUCGUUAAGUCAGAUGUGAAAGCCCUGGGCUCAACCUGGGAACGGCAUUUGAAACUGGCGAGCUAGAGUUUGGGAGAGGAGAGUGGAAUUUCAGGUGUAGCGGUGAAAUGCGUAGAUAUCUGAAGGAACACCAGUGGCGAAGGCGACUCCCUGGACUAGAACUGACGCUGAGGUACGAAAGCGUGGGUAGCAAACAGGAUUAGAUACCCUGGUAGUCCACGCCGUAAACGAUGUCGACUAGCCGUUGGUCCUAUUUACAGGAUUAGUGGCGCAGCUAACGCAUUAAGUCGACCGCCUGGGGAGUACGGCCGCAAGGUUAAA